Molecule: long non-coding RNA, 337 nt
Filed under: Lathyrus oleraceus (garden pea)
Lineage: Eukaryota; Viridiplantae; Streptophyta; Magnoliopsida; Fabales; Fabaceae
Description: Pisum sativum (pea) long non-coding RNA (PSAT_LNC037096)
Source: RNAcentral
UUCGUUGGUUAGAUGGGAAAAUACCAGAAGGGGAAAAAAUUAGAAGUAUUGAGAGACUUGACAGUAUCUUUGGUUGGGUGCGGAUGAAGACUGAUAAGGAUGUUAGGGAAAUGAUGUUCGGUCGAGACGACAUCAAUUUGAUUGUUGUAAUCAGUUAGAAAUAUUUCUGUUUUCAGAUAGCUUAUUUUGUACUGAUGUUUGUUGUGAACCAAUCAGUUAGAAAUAUUUCUGUUUUCAGAUAGCUUAUUUUGUACUGAUGUUUGUUGUGAACCUCAUUGUAACAAAAACUUAAUGAUAUAUAAUGAUUGAAGGUUACAGAAAUACAAUGUUACAAAAA